Long non-coding RNA from Mugil cephalus (flathead mullet), 1512 nucleotides. RefSeq lists it as uncharacterized. The record is from RefSeq and is a predicted model, not a curated record. The transcript is spliced from 2 exons. Lineage: Eukaryota; Metazoa; Chordata; Actinopteri; Mugiliformes; Mugilidae.
UUGUGGCUGCAGGCAUUGACUUGAGUCGCUGUGUGUUUCCGAAUGUAAACAUGCAGUCCUGUACUGUAAGUGUCUAUGGAAAGCUUUUUUUCUUUUCUUUUUUUUUUUUUUUCAAUAUUCCUGGGAAUUCCCAUGGGACAGGAGACUGGAACAAGUGGAACCUUGUUGAUCUAUUGGUCCCAGUCCAAGAUGGCGGACGUCAAGGCAGUCACUGUGGCCCAUUGACCUUGCCUUGAAGCCACUAACAUCAACAUUCAAGGGUAAUAUUUUAAACACAUACAGACCUAUACCCCACCAAGUAAUAUUAUUGUCUAUAGUAAUAUUCAGACUCUUUCGUGAAUACCUACUAAUACUAAAAUGCAUUAAUGACACACAGCUCCAUAAUAAGGCACCGGUGUCUGUGGAAAUUCUAACAUAGCAGUAGUGAGAGGUUGUCAUAUUUAGCUCUAGUUACAAUGUGGAAAUGCAAUCAGCAAUAUCAUGCACACAUUAACACAUGAAACAGUUGACUAUAAUUGUAGAACCUAAAUGUAUGUAACGUAAUGAGCUUAUUUCAAAUACUUUAUACCCAAUUUCGGAAUCCACUUUCAUCAGCUUCGUUUGAUGUGAAACAACAAUUUGGAUCAUUUGAGGAGCCUUACAUCAAGGAAAUGAACGCCUAAGCAAACAUUUCACGCACCUUGAUUGCGAUCAAGCAAUAGCUACAUAGCUGGUAAAUACGCCAGUGAAUGUGAAGAAUGACCAGCUAACCAGCUGAUUCCUGUCUGAUGUUCGAUGUGUGUGCUCGCCCUUAUUUUACGAAGUAAAACUUGUUGUUCUUAUCUGAGCAUUGCAGUUUACCUUGUUACCUUGUUAACAUUUAGCCCCAAGUUCCAAUGUGAGUACAUCCUCUGGCAGCUAGUGAGGCUGUAGAAUUAUUCAUGUUCCAUCAUGUUUGGAAUAAGCUUAACAACUUCUGACCCUAACCCUAUUUCUGACCACACCACUCUGUGUGGUGUGGAGGCUGCAGCGCCUCUGACUGGAUGAACUUGAGGAGAGUGGUGAGGAUCAUCGGGACCCCUCUUUCCUCCGUUCAGGACAUCUCAUCACAGCGCUGCACGUCCCGAGCCCGUAACAUCGUCAGUGACCCCCACCAUGGACUGUUCUCCCUGCUGCCCUCUGGAAAGAGGUUCCGCAGCAUCUGCUGCAGGUCCACCAGGUUCUGCUACAGCCCCUUACCAUCAGACUGUUGAACUCUUAACUGGACUCUGCUCCACACUACAGAAAUUCUGUACAUAACUGAACAUACUUUUUUACUGUCAUUCUCUGCACCGAUAUUUUGCACUGUUAAACAUUUUUGCACUGUGAUACAUGUCACCCUAUCCAUCUACAUUGUUACUACAUUGGUAAUUUUUAUUACAUUGAGUUAUGCAACGUAAUUUUGUUCUGUAUAUACCAUGUGCAUACAAAAUGACACUAAAGUUUGUCUAAGUCAAAGUCCAUCAAGAUUAUCAAAGAUUUUACCCUCACUGA